GCGAUCUGCCCUUCGCCACGACGAAGAUCCGUGAAAUCACGUGCGCCCCUCUGACGACAUAAAAGGAGAACGUACGUCGCUAAUUGGACCUGAGAUAUCGUCCUGGAGCAUCGCGAUUACAUGUGUCUAUAUACGUAUAAAGGAUGAGACACGUGAUAAGGAGGGUGGACGAUAAACGUGAUUAGUCCUCGGAAUAUCCUGGUUGAAGCACGACCCCGAUGAAGCUUAGGCAAGAUAGAGAGAGAGAGAGAGCUCUCGCAUACUCAGGUGUUCGCUCUCACAGGCCUGGAGAUGUGUUUGACGUUCGCAUUACAGCGAAAACCACUCGUUGUCCUUAACGUUUGCGAUUCAAUCGUGUCGGGAGUGCCGUGUAAAAGUUCGGGCGAUCGUAUAUAAUUAUUCGUAUUUUCGCGAGUGAGUGCUACGAAGGACCAAGAGAGGAUCAAGAGAGGAGGCUGAAGAGGCAUCGGGUGACAGCGGGGCAACUGUGAGAUCAAUGAUGUGUACUACUACAACUCCGCUAUUGCAGGUAUCG
Non-coding RNA from Nylanderia fulva, 535 nucleotides. Lineage: Eukaryota; Metazoa; Arthropoda; Insecta; Hymenoptera; Formicidae. The record is from RefSeq and is a predicted model, not a curated record.